RNAcentral lists this transfer RNA (73 nucleotides) under Streptomyces capillispiralis. RNAcentral's name for it is "tRNA-Gly". Lineage: Bacteria; Bacillati; Actinomycetota; Actinomycetes; Kitasatosporales; Streptomycetaceae. The record is from RNAcentral.
GUGGCGGGCGCGGCGGCGGCCACGGUGGCGACUGCCGCUCGCCGGGGCGGCGUUCGGGGCGGCGCUGGCCACG